ACUCAAAGGAAUUGACGGGGACUUGCACAAGCAGUGGAUUAUGUGGUUUAAUUCGACGAUAAACGAAGAACCUUACCCAGGUUUGAAACCUAGUUGCAAGCUUUAGGAAACUUUAGCCCUCGCAAGACAAUUAGGCAGGUGAUGCAUGGCCGUCGUCAGUUCGUGGUUUGAAUUGUUCCCUUAAGUGGGGUAACGAACGCAACCCUCGUUGGCUGUUACAAGUGUCAGCCGAGACUGCCCUAGAUUGUGGUCAUAAACGAAAGUUUGUGGGCAGAAUCUAGGGAGGAAGGCGAGGAUGACGCCAGGUCCGCAUGUCCCUCUGAUAUCUGGGGCUACACACAUAAUACAAUGGGCGCUACAACGAGACGCAAUGCCGUAAGGCGGAGCCAACCUUUAUAAAAACGCCCCAAGUUCGGAUUGAGGUCUGCAACUCGACCUCAUGAAGUUGGAAUUGCUAGUAAUCGCGGGUCAGCCAUACCGCGGUGAAUACGUUCUCAAGUCUUGUACACACCGCCCGU
This 518-nucleotide ribosomal RNA is filed under the name uncultured bacterium. Its description in RNAcentral is "partial 16S ribosomal RNA". It matches the Rfam family "Bacterial small subunit ribosomal RNA", at positions 899 to 1397 of the family's 1533-position model. The record is from RNAcentral.